GGUGUCGGAGCACCUGCAGGAGGGAAGAAGAAGCUGAUUUGGAACAUGGAAAAGCAACUGGUGGGAACCGAAAUAACACUGCUCCAUGGAAUUCAGAAACACAGAAGAGUCCUAGCAGUGGUUUUUUUCCUAGUGAGUGUGAAAAUCAGCCCAUUUCUGGCUAUUUCUGCUACAGCAAUCCCACAACCACUCUGAAUUUCAGAACUCAGCUACAGCUGCAAGUGACUUCUGAUUUUGAAAUGAGGCAAGGGUAACAAGGACGCCCAAGGCCUUAAUCCCAGGAGGCUGGACAAACCAGGCCACGAAGAAACCCCUGGAUCAGCAGAAACUAGAGUUUCCAGAAGCUUAACCAGACCUGAGUACGAGGAACAAAUCCAGAGGAUUCUCUUGCAAGGACUAAGGAACAAGGAUAUCCCAGGUGCAUUUUUACUAAGGUCAAUCAAGGGGUGAUCCCAAGGGCUGGAAUGUUGGUGGUGGGACAUCCUGAACCCACCCUGGCAAUAAAUCAGAGUUUCAGAUGUCGUCAGGCUCAGCACCACGAGGGACACGCCCGUUUUUGAACCCAGGCUCUUCCCAAGACCCAAAGGCUCUGCAGGCCAGGAGGGACAGGGAUCACUCACGUGGCCGGCAGACCGGGUACAGCUCCCACUCCUUCACGUACGACGCGUAGCCGUCGUCAAAGAAGAUCAGGAACCUGAAAAACAAAGGGGAAUUAGGAAUGGGAGCUGAAGAGAACACUCCUCACACCAUGGAAUGGAAAUGGAGAACCUCUCCUGCUCCUCCUGGACACAGCCCAGUCCUGGGUGAGGACAGAAUGAAGAGCUCCAAAUGCUCCCUGUGCUCUCCAUGGCUGCUCAAACACAACAAUUCCCAGCUAGACCCUUUUCCUCUGCUCCAAAUCCUCUCUGUGCCCCAGGAAAGGGAGACAAAGGAAGAGAAAAUGUUUAAUUGCGUCUGGUUUCUGCAGGGAAGAUGGAUAAGGCACCAACUUAGUGCCUCUGAGUAAUGACUCCAAGUCCUGGAGCUGUACAAAAGCUGCAGGAUGAGGGAUCAGCAUGACAACCAGGAGAAAAGUUGCAAUUUGAGUAUCAAAUUCAGCUCAUUUUCAGUUAUUAAACGGAUCAGAUAAAAUCCAACACAAUUUA
Taeniopygia guttata (zebra finch) is the source of this 1145-nucleotide non-coding RNA. Lineage: Eukaryota; Metazoa; Chordata; Aves; Passeriformes; Estrildidae. The record is from RefSeq and is a predicted model, not a curated record.